This is a long non-coding RNA of Symphalangus syndactylus (siamang), 302 nucleotides long. RefSeq lists it as uncharacterized. The record is from RefSeq and is a predicted model, not a curated record. Lineage: Eukaryota; Metazoa; Chordata; Mammalia; Primates; Hylobatidae.
GUGAAAGGAGCAAGCUUUGAAGUCGGCAGAGCUUAGUUUGAAUUCUGCCUCUGCCAGUUAUAGUUGAUUGAUCUUGGACAAGUUAACUUCUCUAAGGCCUUCAUCCUUCUCCUAACAUUGCUUUGGUCUCCAGGCCCACGCACUGCUAAGAUCCCAAGAUUCAGACUGGGGGAUAGGAGUUGAGGAGAUGCCACCAUUAGGCUGAGCUGGGAGCUUCUGUCCACCUUUAUCAGACUUGAUCAGACUGUGCACCCUGGGGUAUCACCCUCUGCUUCAAUGAACACAACGACUUCCCACCUUCA